GGAAAUCGCUCAGUUGGUAGAGUGCUUGCCUAGCAUGCACAAAGCCCUGGGUUCAGUCCCCAGCACCA
RNAcentral lists this transfer RNA (68 nucleotides) under Marmota monax (woodchuck). RNAcentral's name for it is "tRNA.Ala". Lineage: Eukaryota; Metazoa; Chordata; Mammalia; Rodentia; Sciuridae. The record is from RNAcentral.